RNAcentral lists this ribosomal RNA (253 nucleotides) under uncultured bacterium. Its description in RNAcentral is "partial 16S ribosomal RNA". It matches the Rfam family "Bacterial small subunit ribosomal RNA", at positions 524 to 776 of the family's 1533-position model. The record is from RNAcentral.
UACGUAGGAGGCGAGCGUUGUCCGGAGUUACUGGGCGUAAAGGGUGCGCAGGCGGCCGCGUAAGUUCGCGCUGAAAUCUCCUGGCUCAACUGGGAGGGGCGCGCGGAUACUGCGCGGCUUGAGGCCCGCAGGGGGGCGUGGAAUUCCGGGUGGAGCGGUGAAAUGCGUAGAGAUCCGGAGGAACGCCGACGGUGCAGACAGCGCCCUGGACGGGACCUGACGCUCAGGCACGAAAGCUGGGGGAGCGAACAGG